Molecule: long non-coding RNA, 3480 nt
Organism: Sarcophilus harrisii (Tasmanian devil)
Lineage: Eukaryota; Metazoa; Chordata; Mammalia; Dasyuromorphia; Dasyuridae
Source: Ensembl
UGAGAAUCUCCUACCAAAACAAAGAUAGGAACUAGUGGCCGAGGAACUAGAGUUUCAUUGAAGGGAGUUUCCAAGGCUUCAGUUUAAACUAGUUGAAUGCCAAAAUCAGGCUGCUUUAAGUUUUUAAUAUGAAACUCCACUAACAGACUGCUUUUAACUAUACAGAAAGAUUAGCUUCUAUCAGAAGCUGUCACUGUCAACAACAGCAGGGUUGAAACGUUCGACUCAAGGUCUUCUUGGUAGUCAAAGGUAAAACACGGGAUGGAGUGCCAACCUGGAGUCAGGAAGACUCAUCUUUCUGAGUUCAAAUUUGGACUCACUAGUUGUGUGACCCUGGGCAAGUUAGUUAACCCUGUUUGCCUCAGUUUCCUUAUCUGUCAAAUAAACUGGAGAAGGAAAUGAGAAACUACUCCAGUAUCUUUUCGAAGAGAAUCCUAAAUAUCAUCUUGAAGAGUUGGAUACCACUGAAAAUGAUUGAAUACCACAGGCAUUUAUAUAACCUAAUGAAAAAGAACCUUGUUAUACUAGAGAAGUCAACCUUGCUGCUUUAGCCUCCUCUUUAUUCUCUGGCAACUUCACGCUGUGGCCAACACUUUUAAAACUGCUAAAUUUGUAAAUAACAUUAUUUUUAAGUAUUUUCUUUGGUAUGCAUUAUAUCCAUAAAAAUCUACACGACCAUUCAAAUCUAUACUAUAUUUACUCACUUGAAUGCUAGCAGUGAGAUUGCUUAAGUCUACUAUAUUUAAAGUUCUAAGAAUGCAAAAAUAAAAAUAGUCCUCAUCCUCCAAAAGAAUUUACAUUUAUCAGCACAGAUCAAUAUGUACAUAGCAAAUUAAAUGAGGAACAGAGUCAAGAUGAUAGAAUGGAAAAUAUAACCUAGCUCAAUAAAUCUCCUUCAUAAAGAUCUAGAAAAUGCUCCACAUAAUUCUGAAGUGGAAUCCCAAGAAAAAGUCAACGAGGGUCAUUUUUUCCAGCCCAAAGAGGGAUUAUUGAAGCUGAUGGGGCCCAGAAGAAUUGAGAGAUCUCUGGAGCCUCAAGCAUGGUGGCAGAAGGGAAACAGGUAUCCCAAUGUGUCCCUUGCUUGAUUUCCAACACCUGCAUCCCCAGAGACUGUUAAGAGAGGAGUCCUCAGGUGAAAUAACUCUCUCCCAAGUUGAACAGUAUUUCAUUGUUUCCAGAGGCAGAGGUCUCAUAUAUUCCACUGACUAAACUAAUCUAUAUGGUUUCCUCAUUCCUGUCCUGCUCACUAAGAAAAGUGUUUGUUCUUAUUUGUGAUGGUAUAAGUGUAUGGGCUGGAGAAAAACCAACUUGGCUAGAUUAAAGUUGUUAGGCAAAAUUAUUCUCUAGUCAAGUGAUGACUGGGGGGAAGUGGCUUCCUAUCCUUUCAAAUAUCUAAUUGUAAUAGACAGCUAUAAUUAUAAGUCCUAGCUUGAAGACAGGAGAAUGAGGGAGUGAUCACCUUCAUUCAGUUUUCUAUACCCUAUAAAGGUAGAAUUCUAGUAUCUAUAAAAAGCAGGGCAUUUACAGAUCUGUUGAAAAAUCUCUGUUAAUCCAUGGGAUUCUGUUAUAUUAGAAAGGUUUAAUUUUCAAGUCUGCAAGCUUUUAUUAAUCAUCUACUAUGUGCUAUGUACCAUGAUAAACUCUUUGGGGUACACAGAAAGGCAAAAGACAAUUCCUGAAUUCAAGGAGCUCACAUUCUAAUAGAAAAAAAUGUCCUUUACAUUCUUCUCAAUAAACUCUCUUUAGCUUUGGUGACACUAUUCUAGUUCUCUGCUAGAUAGACUGCUUCUUAUAUUAUUAGUCUCAUGCCCAUCAAUGGUAGGUGUCUCCUAGGGCUUUGCCUUGGGGCUUUUCUCUUCUUUCUCCAUACAAUAUUUACCUGGUCAUCACAUCAGUUCCUAUGGAUUUAAUUCUCAUCACUAUGCUAAGGCGUCUCAAAUUUACUAAUCCUGACCUAACUCCCCUCUUAUCUCCAUUCUCAAAAUUACAUGAGCCUAGUUAUUAUAUAUUUUGAACUGGAUGUCACAGACAUAUUAAAUACAAUAUGUCCAAAAUUUCCCACCUGGUUGCUCACCUGGAUGUCACUAUUGUCUUCUCAAAACUAUAUCUUCCCACAAAAUCAAAUUAACUCUGAAACUUAGACUUUCUCAGUAACAUUUGCCUUUUGGGCUCCUCCCUUCCUCUGACUGGAGAUAGGGAGAAUGGACAAUGGGAGAAACCACAAGUGUUGGGUAUCCUCUCUCUUUUCCCACCAUUUUCAGCUUUUUAUGUGUUGUCUUCUCCCUUAGAUUGUGAGUUCCCUUGGUAGUAGGGAUUAUCUUUUUCCCUUCUUUGAAUCCUCAGCAUUUCAUAUAGUAGAGCUAUAGCAAAUAGUACACUUUUAAUAAAUAUUUAUUGACUGACAACUUAUCUUUCCCCCCAAAUCCUUUCAUCUUCCUAACUUCCUAAUUAUUGGUCAGGAAAACAUCAUUCUCCCAGUCACCCAACAUGUGUCAUCCUAGAUUCUUCAUUCUCCCUCAUUCUAUAUCCAUCUAUUGCCAACUCUUAUUUCUACCUUCAUUAUACUUAUAUAUGACCCUAUAUUUUCUCAUCUGAUAUUGCCACCAUCCUGGUGAAAUCCCUUAUUCCUGCACUAUUGAAAUCACUUGUUAGCUGGUCUUCCUGCCUCAAGUCUCUCCUUUAUUCCAAUCCAACCUCCCUUCAGUUAUCAAAUUCAUAUUCCCAGAAUACAAAUCUGACCAAAUUACCCUCCUUUUCAGUAAACUAUAGAGGCUCUCAAUCCCAUAUAAGGUUAUAUAUAAAAUCUUAUUUGGCAUUCAAAGCUCUUCCUAACCAGGCUCCUCUUCCUCCCCUCUAUUAAAGGGGAAUUAAGGAAGUCUUUGACAGAAGGUAGUAUUUUAACAGGAACUUCAAGGAAACCAGGGAAGCCAGAAUGAGGAGAUGAAGCAGGAAAGCAUAGGAGACAGGACAUAAAUGCCCAGAAUUGAAAAGCAGGAGAAUGUCUUGUUUGGGAAACAGCAAAGAAGCUAGUCCAUAAAUUGUGAAGUAUGUUGGUAGGAGGAGGAGGAAGUAAAAUAUAAAACUGGAAAUUCAGGAAGGGGACAGUUCAUGAAGGGCUUUAAAGUCCAGAUUUUUAUAAAUUAUUCUGAGGAUCAUAGGGAAUCACUGGAAUUUAUCAAAAUGAAAGGAAGAGGGAGACAUGAUCAGGCUUGUAUUUAAAUAAGAUCUAUUUGAUAGCUCAGUGGAAAAGAAACUGGAGUGGGAAGAAACAUGGACUUUUUUUUUAAAGACUUUAGAAAAAAUAUAGUCGCUUUCAGAAGCUUUUUUUGAGUUAUUUUUCGGAGCUGUUUUGGGGGAAUGUGAGAAGACCUGUCAUAUCCCAUCCAAAUAUUUAUUAAAACCAAAGACUUACGGCUGUUCUUUACAGAGGAGUUAAGACUAAGCUUGGCUUGGCUGUGUUUACCUAAAGUAAAUAUUGAC